GACACCACCACCCGAUUUGCCCGAUUGGACUCCCCGCCGGCGGCGCCGCCGCGCGACAUUUCCCGGCGUAAACCCUUCUCUGCUCCCCAUUCCCAGAGCCGCUGAGAAACCCCGCGACGGCGACGAUGCGGCGCCUCCACAGGUCCCUCCUCGCCGCCGCCCUCUCCAAGCCCCUCUGCCGCCACCGACCCCCUCUCCCGCUCCUCCUCCACCGCUCUCCUCUCCGCCCGCACCAAUCGCUCCCCUUCUCCACCCGAGCCCUAACCACGCCGCUACCUACUUCCGACGCGGCGCCGGCCGCCCUAACCACGCCGCCACCUACUCCCAGCGCGGCGCCGACCUCCCAACCCACCGCCCUCGCCUCCCUCGAGGCCGCCGAGCGCAAGGAGGCCGCGGGCGACCACCAGGAGGCCCUCGACCUCGCGCUCAAGGCGCUCGCCCCCCUGCAGGAGACCCACGGCGGCUGGUCGCUCCCCGUCGCGCGCGCCCUCCGCCUCGCUGGCGCCGCGGCCUUCCGCCUCAACCUCCUCAACGACAGCCUCGACUCCCUCGAGGCCGCCGCCGAGAUCGUCGACUCCCUGCUGGGCGCGGGCGCCGAGGCGGCCACCGUCGGCGCGGCCGUGCUCGACCAGCUCGCGCGCACCAAGACGGCCAUGGGGCGCCGCUGGGACGCCGUGGCCGACCUCCGCCGCGCGCUCGAGCUCAAGGGCCGCGUCCUCGAGGCAGGGUGCGCCGACGCCUGCAGGGACGUCGCCGAGGCGUACGUGGGGGUGCUGUGCUUCGACAAGGCGCUGCCGCUCUGUCUUUCAGCGCUCGAGAUCACCGUGGAGCGGUUCGGAGACGGCUCUGCGGAGGUGGCUAAGGUCCGGCAGAUCCUCAUGGUUGCGUACACCGGGCUGGGCCGCAACGAGGAGGCGCUGGAGCAGAACAAGCUUCUUAGGAUGGUCUACGAGGGGUUGGGUAUGGAUGUGGAGCUUUCUCUGGCUGAAAUCGAUGGCGCCGGCUUGAGUAUCCUGCUGGGCAGAACGGAGGACGCGAUGAAUGACCUGAAGAAGGUGAUGAAUCGGGCCAGCAAGGACAGCGAGGAGCGCGCGCUGGCAUUUGUCACCAUGGCCAAGAUUCUGUGCUCCCAGGAGAGGCUCAGCGACUCCAGACGGUGCCUGGAGAUUGCUCGUGAGACUCUCGACUCCAAACGUUCCGCCAACCCUGAGCGGACCGCUGGCGCAUAUACGGAGAUAUCGAUGCUGUACGAGUCGAUGACUGAAUUCGAGAUGCCGCUGUGUUUGAUGAAGAAAACGCUUGCGUUUCUUGAGCGUGUCUCGGGGAUGCAGCACAUCCAAGGGAGUAUCUCGGCAAGGCUAGGUUGGCUCCUCCUGCUGACGAAACGAGUUGAUGAGGCUGUUCCUUUGCUGGAGAAAGCAGUGGAGAUGCUGAAGAACUGUUUUGGACCGCUGCACUUUGGGUUAGGAUUUGCUUAUAAGCAUCUGGGGGAGGCUAACCUUGAACUGAACCAACUGGACGCAGCUGUGAAGUUCUUUGUUCUUGCGAGUGACAUCAUUACUGCUGCAUUUGGGCCGAAACAUGAGGAUUCCAUUGAGAUACUUCAGUUGAUUGCAAAUGCAUAUGGACUGAUGGGGAGUUACAAGCAUGCAGAGGAUUAUCAACUACGAGUUAUAGCUGCUUAUGAAAGUUGUGGCCCUGAUAUGUCAUAUGAGCAAAGAGAAGCUCGUAGGCUUCUGGAGCAGCUAAGGAAGAAGGCUGAAGGGUCACCUCAUGCAGUAUUUCCUGCCAAUUCAUUGCCUGUGCUUCCGCAAAACCGAGAAUAAUGCUUCUCCUAGCAUCUUAUAGAGGAAGAUGACUCAAUGACUUAUUUCUGGUUGGAAUUGAUUGACGACAUUGAGGUACUGCUCCGACCAUUAUAUUUGAAUUGCUAUCUUUAACUACUUUACUUGAGGAAGUAGCAUAUAAAAGAGUGUAUCAUGGAAGUGGCAGAUUAACACACCACAUAGGCUUGGUUGGGUUCUGUCAUUCUGUGACUAUAUCUUAUGCAUUUUCUAUGUGAAUUCCCGUGGCAUGCUUGAAAAAUUACAAAUGGAAAUUCAACUAUUGCUUAUCGAAGUACUGACAUACUAGUUAUGAAAUAACUAUGCUGCUAUCCUUAAUGACCUGUAAGUUGAUGCUGUCCAAAAGUCCAUUGAGUUGGAGUAUAGGAAGUUAGGAACAGAAAGGGAAGUCUAUUUUGUGACCUACUACAGUAAGGAAUAGCCCUACACUAUUAGAAAAUAGCUGUACACAAUAAGAAGAGAAAUCCUGCUCACAGCUCAAUUUUUGUUCACCAAAAAUGAUCUUAUCUUAAAUGUUCAACAUUGUAUCAUGAUCCGCUUUUUUUAGCCGUAAUUGGUAGAGUAUCUCCACUUGUGUCCUGGAGUUCCUGGGUUCAAAUUAGCCCCCUUGCAUGCCUAAAAUAUCCUUCACCAGCCCCCACAAUGUGUGGGAGCUUUCAGCACUGGGUACGCCCUUUUGGAAGGGGAGCCUUGGUGCAGUGCUAAAAGCUGCUGCCUUGUGACCAGGAGGUCGUGGGUUCAAGUCGUGGAAACAGCCUCUUGCAAAAAAUUGCAAGGAAAGGCUGCAUACAGUGACCUAAUGUGGUCCGACCCCUCCCCGGACCCGGCGCAAAGAGGGAGCUUCGUGCACCGGGCAGCCCAAUUGGUCGGAUUUGUUUAUUUCCACACAAAUUUUUGUAUGCCAUAUUGCAAUAUGUGAUUUAUUGUAUACAUAACAAAUAUGAAAUUGAGUUAGUAGUUUGCUGAAUAUUUCAAUUUUGUUUAUUUGCAUGUAGAAGCUAACAAACUGGCUAGUCAAAAUACUAGUUUAGCUCUUUUACUUGUACUAUCACAGACUGUCAGGAGGUGCUUCCACUAUAAGGUCAAUGGUUACUCUGACAGAGAAAACAUCAAGAUACUUUCUAGUACGAGACUGCAUGAUCCAGAUCAGCCCUCAUAUGAACUUGUAGCAGUUCCACCAAUUUGUUGCGAUUACCAUGGGCAAUAGGACAAGCUGGCUACAUCUUAGGAGGCCUAGUUACAUGUACAAUAGUGUCCAAGUCAGGAGCUGUUCCUCCUCUUGAGUAGAUGGGAGAUGGCUUCUACUUUGGCUAAAUGACAACGCAAUGUCCUAUAAAAGGUCCCCGUACUUGCUGUGCUGACAAAUGCUGCUAUAGCCAAAUAGUGUGCUACAAGCAUGCCUUGGAUUUUCAACGAGUUAUUGAUGCUUAUGAAAGCUGUGGCCCUGGAUCGGCCUGUGUGGAAGAGGAACUCUAGAGCAGCUGAGGAAGGCAGAAGGGUCACCUUUUAUCCAGUAUUAGCUGCAAAUUCAUUACCCUUGCUUACCCAAAAUCGAGAGUAGUGCUUGUCGGCAUCUGUUAGAUGAGUAUGGAGUAUGACCCAAUGGUAAAUUAAGAUUUUGGCAGUGACUCUGAGGUCCUUUUACUACUCCCUCCGUCCCAAAAAGGAUGUCGCGAAUUUGUCUAAAUUUGGAUGUAACUAUACACUAAAUUGUGUCGCGUCAAAAUAGAUCAAAAUUUAGACAAAUCUGUGACAUCCUUUUUGGGACAGAGGGAGUAUUAUUUUGGUGCCCAAUGUCACUACACAGUUUAUUUACGUAUCAGUGGAACUAGAUGUGAUCAUGUCAACAACAUAUUCUAUUUGGGAAGACCGUUGAAUAUGCUCCAUGAAUAAAACAUGAGCUUGCUGACUUAA
RNA transcript from Lolium perenne, 3758 nucleotides. It is a transcript of the gene named protein KINESIN LIGHT CHAIN-RELATED 3, with no coding region annotated. NCBI's taxonomy places the organism in Eukaryota, Viridiplantae, Streptophyta, Magnoliopsida, Poales, Poaceae. The record is from RefSeq and is a predicted model, not a curated record.